UACGUAGGGGGCAAGCGUUGUCCGGAUUUAUUGGGCGUAAAGAGCGUGUAGGCGGCUAGAUAGGUCCGUUGUGAAAACUCGAGGCUCAACCUCGAGACGUCGAUGGAAACCAUCUAGCUAGAGUCCGGAAGAGGAGAGUGGAAUUCCUGGUGUAGCGGUGAAAUGCGCAGAUAUCAGGAGGAACACCGGUGGCGAAGGCGGGUCUCUGGGCAGUAACUGACGCUGAGGAGCGAAAGCGUGGGGAGCGAACAGG
Molecule: ribosomal RNA, 253 nt
Filed under: uncultured bacterium
Lineage: Bacteria
Description: partial 16S ribosomal RNA
Rfam family: Bacterial small subunit ribosomal RNA
Source: RNAcentral